GGGAGAUUCACUGACUGACUGACUGACAUCCAUCCAUCACACUGCGUGUGAGUAUCAGUAUAACAAACCUACUGCCAGUACAUUAUCGUAGCUUCACCAGGAUUUUCAUGGUAUCAGCUCCAUUUCCCAACAAUACACUUCCUCUUUCAGAACACGCUCCUUUCUUUCUCUCUGACAGGAAGUGACUAGGCCUCUCCCCUUACCCCUCAGCUCACUCUCGGAUCCCCCCGGACAGCGGUUGGUCGGUUGCCGUGGCCAACCAGACGCUGUGUCCCUGUAUGUCCGUCAGGGAAGAUGAGGUCUGUCGACGAGCUAAACCACUAAUCAGCAACAUUCCAGAACUCUCCGGAAGACGGGAAACAAACAUUCUGUCCGUGGUUCAUUCCUGUUGUUUAAUUACACUGUUCUGUUGACGGAGGCCCCUUAUCAACAGAUCUCUAACAGAGUUCCUCCUGUUGCUACAGUCCCUCUUUUAACAGACAACUAAUGACCAUAUUGAGGCUUUAUGAAGGCAUUCAUGAAGAGCACUACAUACAUGCUUCACAAAUCAUUAUAAGCCAAGUCGUAGCCUACAUGGGUGAUCCAAAGGCUCCUUACAGCUGGUAUUGUGUCGUGGCAUAAGAGCUUUAGACCUACGUCUUAUAAACGGUUUGAUUUCACUACAUCUAUAACCUACUUUUACUUUGACUAGAUGUCUAGUAGGAUGUCUAGUAGCAUGUUUGGUAUGAUGUUAAGUUGGAUGUCUAGUAGGAUGUUUAGUAGGAUGUUUGGUAUGAUGUCUAGUAGGAUGUUUGGUAUGAUGUCUAGUUGGAUGUUUAGUAGGAUGUCAGGCAGGAUGUUUGGUAGGAUGUUUGGUAGGAUGUCUAGUAGGAUGUCUAGUAGGAUGUCUGGUAGGAUGUCUAGUAGGAUAUUUAGUAGGAUGUCUGGUAGGAUGUCUGGUAGGAUGUCUGGUAGGAUGUCUGGUAGGAUGUCUGGUCGGAUGUCUGGUCGGAUGUCUGGUCGGGUGUCUGGUCUGGUAGGUUGUCUAGUAGGGUGUCUGGUAGGUUGUCUAGUAGGGUGUCUGGUAGGUUGUCUAGUAGGGUGUCUGGUAGGUUGUCUAGUAGGGUGUCUGGUAGGUUGUCUGGUAGGAUGUCUGGUAGGAUGUUUGGUAUGAUGUCUAGUAGGGUGUCUGGUAUGAUGUCUAGUAGGGUGUCUAGUAGGGUGUCUAGUAGGGUGUCUGGUAUGAUGUCUAGUAGGAUGUUUGGUAUGAUGUCUAGUAGGGUGUCUGGUAUGAUGUCUAGUAGGAUGUUUGGUAUGAUGUCUAGUAGGAUGUCUAGUAGGAUGUCUAGUAGGGUGUCUAGUAGGGUGUCUGGUAUGAUGUCUGGUAUGAUGUCUAGUAGGGUGUCUAGUAGGGUGUCUAGUAGGGUGUCUAGUAGGGUGUCUAGUAGGGUGUCUAGUAGGGUGUCUAGUAGGGUGUCUAGUAGGGUGUCUAGUAGGGUGUCUAGUAGGGUGUCCAGGGUGUAGUAGGGUGU
Molecule: long non-coding RNA, 1511 nt
Organism: Oncorhynchus tshawytscha (Chinook salmon)
Lineage: Eukaryota; Metazoa; Chordata; Actinopteri; Salmoniformes; Salmonidae
Source: Ensembl